This 432-nucleotide ribosomal RNA is filed under the name uncultured bacterium. Its description in RNAcentral is "partial 16S ribosomal RNA". It matches the Rfam family "Bacterial small subunit ribosomal RNA", at positions 29 to 506 of the family's 1533-position model. The record is from RNAcentral.
AACGAACGCUGGCGGCAUGCCUAACACAUGCAAGUCGAACGAGACCUUCGGGUCUAGUGGCGCACGGGUGCGUAACGCGUGGGAACCUGCCCUUAGGUUCGGAAUAACUCCCCGAAAGGGGUGCUAAUACCGGAUAAUGUCUUCGGACCCAAGAUUUAUCGCCUUUGGAUGGGCCCGCGUUGGAUUAGCUAGUUGGUAGGGUAAAAGCCUACCAAGGCGACGAUCCAUAGCUGGUCUGAGAGGAUGAUCAGCCACACUGGGACUGGGACACGGCCCAGACUUCUACGGGAGGCAGCAGUGGGGAAUAUUGGACAAUGGGCGAAAGCCUGAUCCAGCAAUGCCGUGUGAGUGAUGAAGGGCUUAGGGUUGUAAAGCUCUUUUACCCGGGAUGAUAAUGACAGUACCGGGAGAAUAAGCUCCGGCUAACUCCGU